This 439-nucleotide ribosomal RNA is filed under the name uncultured Porphyromonas sp. RNAcentral describes it as "bacterial SSU rRNA". It matches the Rfam family "Bacterial small subunit ribosomal RNA", at positions 338 to 776 of the family's 1533-position model. The record is from RNAcentral. Lineage: Bacteria; Pseudomonadati; Bacteroidota; Bacteroidia; Bacteroidales; Porphyromonadaceae.
CCUACGGGAGGCAGCAGUGAGGAAUAUUGGUCAAUGGACGAGAGUCUGAACCAGCCAAGUCGCGUGAAGGAAGACGGAUCUAUGGUUUGUAAACUUCUUUAGUGUGGGAACAAAGCGGCGUCGUGACGCCGGAUGAGUGUACCGCAAGAAUAAGCAUCGGCUAACUCCGUGCCAGCAGCCGCGGUAAUACGGAGGAUGCGAGCGUUAUCCGGAUUUAUUGGGUUUAAAGGGAGCGCAGGCUGCGAGGCAAGUCAGCGGUCAAAUGUCGGGGCUCAACCCCGGCCUGCCGUUGAAACUGUCUUGCUAGAGUUCGAGUGAGGUAUGCGGAAUGCGUUGUGUAGCGGUGAAAUGCAUAGAUAUGACGCAGAACUCCGAUUGCGAAGGCAGCAUACCAACUCGCGACUGACGCUGAGGCUCGAAAGCGUGGGUAUCGAACAGG